This 468-nucleotide ribosomal RNA is filed under the name uncultured bacterium. RNAcentral describes it as "partial 16S ribosomal RNA". It matches the Rfam family "Bacterial small subunit ribosomal RNA", at positions 28 to 507 of the family's 1533-position model. The record is from RNAcentral.
GACGAACGCUGGCGGCGUGCUUAACACAUGCAAGUCGAACGGAAAGGCCCUGCUUUUGUGGGGUGCUCGAGUGGCGAACGGGUGAGUAACACGUGAGUAACCUGCCCUUGACUUUGGGAUAACUUCAGGAAACUGGGGCUAAUACCGGAUAGGAGCUCCUGCUGCAUGGUGGGGGUUGGAAAGUUUCGGCGGUUGGGGAUGGACUCGCGGCUUAUCAGCUUGUUGGUGGGGUAGUGGCUUACCAAGGCUUUGACGGGUAGCCGGCCUGAGAGGGUGACCGGCCACAUUGGGACUGAGAUACGGCCCAGACUCCUACGGGAGGCAGCAGUGGGGAAUAUUGCACAAUGGGCGCAAGCCUGAUGCAGCAACGCCGCGUGCGGGAUGACGGCCUUCGGGUUGUAAACCGCUUUCGCCUGUGACGAGGCGUGAGUGACGGUAAUGGGUAAAGAAGCACCGGCUAACUACGUG